UACGAACCGUCCAAACGUUAUUCGGAUUCAUUGGGCUUAAAGGGUACGUAGGCGGCGCUUCAAGUCGGGUGUGAAAUCCCUCGGCUCAACCGAGGAACUGCGCCCGAUACUGGAGUGCUCGAGGGAGACAGAGGUAAGCGGAACUGAUGGUGGAGCGGUGAAAUGCGUUGAUAUCAUCAGGAACACCAGUGGCGAAAGCGGCUUACUGGGUCUCUUCUGACGCUGAGGUACGAAAGCUAGGGGAGCGAACGGG
RNAcentral lists this unclassified non-coding RNA (253 nucleotides) under uncultured Pirellulaceae bacterium. Its description in RNAcentral is "contains 16S-23S intergenic spacer region". It matches the Rfam family "Bacterial small subunit ribosomal RNA", at positions 524 to 776 of the family's 1533-position model. The record is from RNAcentral. Lineage: Bacteria; Pseudomonadati; Planctomycetota; Planctomycetia; Pirellulales; Pirellulaceae.